This 329-nucleotide ribosomal RNA is filed under the name Capnocytophaga sp. AHN10182. RNAcentral's name for it is "bacterial SSU rRNA". It matches the Rfam family "Bacterial small subunit ribosomal RNA", at positions 106 to 434 of the family's 1533-position model. The record is from RNAcentral. Lineage: Bacteria; Pseudomonadati; Bacteroidota; Flavobacteriia; Flavobacteriales; Flavobacteriaceae.
GUGCGUAACGCGUAUGCAACCUACCUUUCACAGGGGGAUAGCCCGAAGAAAUUUGGAUUAAUACCCCAUAAUAUUAUUGGAUGGCAUCAUUUGAUAAUUAAAAUUACGAUGGUGAAAGAUGGGCAUGCGUCCUAUUAGCUAGUUGGAGUGGUAACGGCACCCCAAGGCUMCGAUAGGUAKGGGUCCUGAGAGGGAGAUCCCCCACACUGGUACUGAGACAGGGACCAGACUCCUACGGGAGGCAGCAGUGAGGAAUAUUGGUCAAUGGUCSGAAGWCUGAACCAGCCAUGCCGCGUGCAGGAAGAAUGCCUUAUGGGUUGUAAACUGCU